GAUGAAGAACGUAGCGAAAUGCGAUAAGUAGUGUGAAUUGCAGAAUUCAGUGAAUCAUCGAAUCUUUGAACGCACAUUGCGCCCCUUGGUAUUCCAUGGGGCAUGCCUGUUCGAGCGUCAUUUGUACCUUCAAGCUCUGCUUGGUGUUGGGUGUUUGUCCUUGCUCUAGUGGGGGGACUCGCCUUAAAGUAAUUGGCAGCCAGUGUUUUGGUUUUGAAGCGCAGCACAAGUCGCGAUUCAAGUCUAUACGCUAGUUUCCACAAGUCUUUUAUCACUUUUGACCUCGGAUCAGGUAGGGAUACCCGCUGAACUUAAGCAUAUCAAUAAGCGGAGGA
This 335-nucleotide unclassified non-coding RNA is filed under the name soil metagenome. Its description in RNAcentral is "partial contains 5.8S ribosomal RNA, internal transcribed spacer 2, and large subunit ribosomal RNA". The stretch from base 1 to 120 matches the Rfam family "5.8S ribosomal RNA", at positions 35 to 154 of the family's 154-position model. The record is from RNAcentral.